RNAcentral lists this ribosomal RNA (495 nucleotides) under uncultured bacterium. Its description in RNAcentral is "partial 16S ribosomal RNA". It matches the Rfam family "Bacterial small subunit ribosomal RNA", at positions 28 to 507 of the family's 1533-position model. The record is from RNAcentral.
GAUGAACGCUGGCGGCGUGCCUAAUACAUGCCAGUAGAACGCUGAAGGAGGAGCUUGCUCUUCUGGAUGAGUUGCGAACGGGUGAGUAACGCGUAGGUAACCUGCCUGGUAGCGGGGGAUAACUAUUGGAAACGAUAGCUAAUACCGCAUGACAACAGUUAUUGCAUGAUAACUGUUUAAAAGGGGCAACUGCUCCACUACCAGAUGGACCUGCGUUGUAUUAGCUAGUUGGUGAGGUAACGGCUCACCAAGGCGACGAUACAUAGCCGACCUGAGAGGGGGAUCGGCCACCCUGGGACUGAGACACGGCCCAGACUCCUACGGGAGGCAGCAGUAGGGAAUCUUCGGCAAUGGACGGAAGUCUGACCGAGCAACGCCGCGUGAGUGAAGAAGGGUUUCGGAUCGUAAAGCUCUGUUGUAAGAGAAGAACGAGUGUGAGAGUGGAAAGUUCACACUGUGACGGUAUCUUAACAGAAAGGGACGGCUAACUACGUG